Molecule: ribosomal RNA, 506 nt
Filed under: uncultured bacterium
Lineage: Bacteria
Description: partial 16S ribosomal RNA
Rfam family: Bacterial small subunit ribosomal RNA
Source: RNAcentral
AGUGAACGCUGGCGGUAGGCCUAACACAUGCAAGUCGAACGGCAGCACAGGAGAGCUUGCUCUCUGGGUGGCGAGUGGCGGACGGGUGAGGAAUACAUCGGAAUCUACUUUUUCGUGGGGGAUAACGUAGGGAAACUUACGCUAAUACCGCAUACGACCUACGGGUGAAAGCAGGGGACCUUCGGGCCUUGCGCGAUUGAAUGAGCCGAUGUCGGAUUAGCUAGUUGGCGGGGUAAAGGCCCACCAAGGCGACGAUCCGUAGCUGGCCUGAGAGGAUGGUCAGCCACACUAGAACUGAGACACGGUCCAGACUCCUACGGGAGGCAGCAGUGGGGAAUAUUGGACAAUGGGCGCAAGCCUGAUUCAGCCAUACCGCGUGGGUGAAGAAGGCCUUCGGGUUGUAAAGCCCUUUUGUUGGGAAAGAAAUCCAGCUGGCUAAUACCCGGUUGGGAUGACGGUACCCAAAGAAUAAGCACCGGCUAACUUCGUGCCAGCCGCCGCGGUAA